GCAAUAUAUUGCAAAAUCAAAUCAGGCGUCUCUAUUGGUGAAAAAUAUUGUAAAGUCAAAUUGAGCAUUUCUAUUGGCCAAGAAUGUUGCAUCGCUCGUAAUUUGAGGAGAAUGCUUGGCGCGGGGUGGCAUUCUCUGUUGAAAUCUGUGGAGCGAGAAUUUGUCGCAUUAGUCCGUAAUUAUUAGUACUUUCAUUCCAAUUUUAUCAUUAUUUCUACACUUCUAUCUGCUUCAUUUAAAUAAUUAUUGGUACGUGAUCGAAAGAAUGGGGAUUUACGGAAUAAUGGACGUCACAGGUGAUCAAUAAUCAAUUCAUUGAUUUUUCGUGCAGAUUUGGUAAUGAUUAAGCUAUUAUACCAAAGCAAAUGUAUGUAUAUGUUUAUUUUCCAUUUUUGUUGGAUCAAUGAUAAUCAAUAUUUAUUACAUAAUUGUUACACAGCUUACGAUUGAUAUAUAAUAACAUUAUUUUAUAAAUGGUUGCAUAAUUUUUUGAAAAUGUUAAAAUGAAAGAAAAAGAGGUUAUAGAAAUCAUUUUUUAAAAAUAUUUCGAUUAUAUAGAUCGACAUUAAUAAUUGCAUAUAUUAUUAAUUAAUUAAUGUUUUCAUAUCAAUAUGUAGCAAAUUAUACGAAUCAUUUAAUUGUUAUUAGAAGAUAAUCUAUCGCGAAGUUAUUCUGUUUGUACAUAUUUGUACAAGAAUAUCAGUUUAUUAUUUUCUCGGAAGAGACUGAAUAAAACUUGUCGAGACACGUACAGGAUUAUAUGUAUAUACGCUCUAAUCACUUCAGGCAUGUUUAGUUAAAAAAAUGUAAUUUAUUACGAGCAUUGUCGAAUCCUCAUAAGGUGCAACGUAAUAUAUUAGUAAAAACCAUAUUUCAAACUUUGAUGACGAACAUUCACAAUUGAAUUCUUCUUGUAGAGUUGGUUUUAUAUUUUAAAAUAUUAAUAAAUAUUUGGAAAUAUGUUAGAAAAUAUCUUACAAUAUAUAAGCAGUGUUUGAAAUACUACAUGUAUAUAUAAACUUCCAGAAACUGCGAUAUCUCCAAAACAAACUCUCAAUCGCUCCCUCUGUUUCUCCUCGCUAAUACAAUCUGUUUUCAGAGAAUGUUUGUGUCCGCGCGCAAUGCGGUCGGUGGAGUCAGUGUUUGCUGCGUAAUAACAUUUGUAUUUUCUAGAGCACAAUAGCUCUUAAUAAUUAUAAAUUUAAUUACAAUAUUUGUACGUGAAAUUAGAGUCAGUGUGUUCGCCGAUUGUUAACUACGGACGCGUUAAUAGCUCUUUUUUUUUCUUUUUUUAUACAUCAUUUUAAACAUUCGCUUUCGGUAGUAGAGUCGCAGGUUUCGCAAGAGGAUACAAUCUCUUCUGUGAUUUGAGAAUGUAUUUCACAACUUCUAGCUUUUCUUGUGUUUUUGGAAGGAUGCAGUGGUGCUUGAAAAC
Molecule: long non-coding RNA, 1435 nt
Organism: Bombus pyrosoma
Lineage: Eukaryota; Metazoa; Arthropoda; Insecta; Hymenoptera; Apidae
Exons: 3
Source: RefSeq, a predicted model, not a curated record